This 1873-nucleotide long non-coding RNA is filed under the name Brassica napus (rape). RNAcentral describes it as "long non-coding RNA (BNAP_LNC014706)". The record is from RNAcentral. Lineage: Eukaryota; Viridiplantae; Streptophyta; Magnoliopsida; Brassicales; Brassicaceae.
CUGUUUCUGGAUGAGGAAGCUGUGGCGGCGAGUGAAUAUUCGGGGCUGACGUCGUACCCUUCGUCAUAAAACCAAACACAACUUCUUGUUCUUCUUUUGUAUGUUACUUACUGUCUGAAACAUGAGAACGUUAUUUUACUCUGUUCAGUUUGUUGACAAUGUGUUUUGUCGGUUAAUUACUUUAUUUUAGCCAUUAAUAUCAUCAUCAUUAGUACAUGAUUGAGAAACAUAAGAACACUAGGUUAAUUAGAAUCAUCUUUUAAUCUUAAUCAUUAUUAAAUGAGAUUUUUUACUUAUAUGAUUUUGUAAUCAUUUAUAUCAUGUCAUAACAAAAAAUUUAAGCCAUGGAUCACAAAAUUUGAAUGUGAAACUUUAAACAGUUUUAGUAAUUUAUAAUCAUUUUGCAAAAUUCAAAAUAUAACAUAUACAGGAAAAACUACAAUUUAUUAUAUAAUUAAUAUUUUUGUUUAAUUUAUUUAGAUAGUUUAAAAUUAAACAAAUAUGAUAGAAGACAUACUAAUUUUUAUCAAAUCUUUAUUAUUCAAAAUCUUUAAUUUUCAUAAAUAUUUUAUCGACAUUAGGCAAUUCCAUAACUUUUAUUUGAGGAAGUAAUAAAGAACAUUAAUAAUGAAUUUAUGGUUAGUUUGAUAAAAAGCUUAUUAUAUAUUUAGAUGGAUCAACUUAUUUCUCUAAAAAUUCUAAGAAUCAUUCUAGUGAUGACAUGUAACUACAAAAAAAUGUUGCAAUGCUUCUCAAUUAAUAUAUAAGGGAUAAUGUUUUCUUUUGUUGGUUUAUUACCUUAUUUAGUCAUAUUAUUAUCAUUAGGUUAAGACCAUCGCCUUGCACGGAAUGAAAAUAAUACAUAAUUAUUUUAUGUAUUAUAUAUUUUUACAUAUUAUGAAAUAAUAAAUAUACAUAUUAAAUAAUUAAAAGUCAGUAACUAUUACAUAUAUAAUUAAACUGGUGCGAACAUAUAAAUCAAUUUUAUUAAUCCAAAUAAUUUUUUUUUUCUAUUUGAUAGGAUAUAUUAUUAAAUUUAAAUGAUAUUAGCAUACAUAGUAUAUUUUUAAUAUUAAUGUCUAUUAAAUGAUAUUUUCUACUCAUAUUGUUUUUUUGAUCAGUUGUAUUUUGUAUAGGAAAAACUUUAAAUUAUUGAUAACAAAAUUUUCAUUGUGGGAUUAAUAUGCUUUUAUAAUCAUUUAUUAUUUUCAUAAUAGAAAAUUUAAACCAUGGAUCACAAAAUUUGAAAGCGAGACUUUUGACUGUGGUUAGGAGUGAUGUGGUUAUAGGUGUCCAGCGGUUGAUGGCAUGAACGAAUUGUGGAUGCAUACAAAUUGCCUAGAUAAAAGACUGUGGUUUAACUUUGAUUGGGAUAUAUUGUAAAACUGAAAUGGUUGGGGCAAAUUGAUUGAACCGUGGUGCACAUUUUAAAAGUUGAGAUAAAUUUAUGAAUACCCAAAAUUUGGAGGACCGGAUAUGCAAAUAUGGAGAAACCACCAUUGUUAUGCUCGAUCCUUCUUCUCUUUUGAUCUGGUUGAUGACGACGGUUCCGGCGGCCACCACGACGGAAGAGCUGACCACGGAGAGGACGAGACCACUUGGACAGAGAUAACGUGGUUUUGGUGCCUUCAAAUCAAUAUCGAUUUUGUACCACUGCGAAGAAGCUUGAGCCGCGACGGUGAGGCCCAGGACGAACUCGACAGACGGUUGCAGGUAAUUGAAGACUCGAGCACGACGUCGAGGUUGGUCUGGUGCUGAGGAAGUUCGGUCAAGAUUCAGUCCAUGUGUCAAAGGCGUCGGUGUCUAGGGUUUGAAUCUGGUGAAAGGGCAGUGAGGAGGUGUUUCGAUGAGUUUAAAGUUUACUUUUUGGUGA